GACGAACGCUGGCGGCGUGCUUAACACAUGCAAGUCGAACGGAAAGGCCCUGCUUUUGUGGGGUGCUCGAGUGGCGAACGGGUGAGUAACACGUGAGUAACCUGCCCUUGACUUUGGGAUAACUUCAGGAAGCUGAGGCUAAUACCGGAUAGGAGCUCCUGCUGCAUGGUGGGGGUUGGAAAGUUUCGGCGGUUGGGGAUGGACUCGCGGCUUAUCAGCUUGUUGGUGGGGUAGUGGCUUACCAAGGCUUUGACGGGUAGCCGGCCUGAGAGGGUGACCGGCCACAUUGGGACUGAGAUACGGCCCAGACUCCUACGGGAGGCAGCAGUGGGGAAUAUUGCACAAUGGGCGGAAGCCUGAUGCAGCAACGCCGCGUGCGGGAUGACGGCCUUCGGGUUGUAAACCGCUUUCGCCUGUGACGAAGCGUGAGUGACGGUAAUGGGUAAAGAAGCACCGGCUAACUACGUG
RNAcentral lists this ribosomal RNA (468 nucleotides) under uncultured bacterium. RNAcentral describes it as "partial 16S ribosomal RNA". It matches the Rfam family "Bacterial small subunit ribosomal RNA", at positions 28 to 507 of the family's 1533-position model. The record is from RNAcentral.